This 445-nucleotide ribosomal RNA is filed under the name Granulicatella sp. oral taxon D03. Its description in RNAcentral is "bacterial SSU rRNA". It matches the Rfam family "Bacterial small subunit ribosomal RNA", at positions 28 to 462 of the family's 1533-position model. The record is from RNAcentral. Lineage: Bacteria; Bacillati; Bacillota; Bacilli; Lactobacillales; Carnobacteriaceae.
GACGAACGCUGGCGGCAUGCCUAAUACAUGCAAGUCGAGCGAACAGAUGAAGUGCUUGCACUUCUGACGUUAGCGGCGAACGGGUGAGUAACACGUAAGGAAUCUACCUAUAAGCGGGGGAUAACAUUCGGAAACGGGUGCUAAUACCGCAUAAUAUCUUCUUCCGCAUGGAAGAAGAUUGAAAGACGGCUCUGCUGUCACUUAUAGAUGACCUUGCGGUGCAUUAGUUAGUUGGUGGGGUAAUGGCCUACCAAGACGAUGAUGCAUAGCCGACCUGAGAGGGUGAUCGGCCACAUUGGGACUGAGACACGGCCCAAACUCCUACGGGAGGCAGCAGUAGGGAAUCUUCCGCAAUGGGCGAAAGCCUGACGGAGCAAUGCCGCGUGAGUGAAGAAGGCCUUCGGGUCGUAAAACUCUGUUAUAAGAGAAGAACAAAUUGUAGAGU